RNAcentral lists this transfer RNA (74 nucleotides) under Candidatus Cloacimonas acidaminivorans str. Evry. RNAcentral describes it as "Candidatus Cloacamonas acidaminovorans str. Evry tRNA". It matches the Rfam family "tRNA". Rfam says of the family: Transfer RNA (tRNA) molecules are approximately 80 nucleotides in length. Their secondary structure includes four short double-helical elements and three loops (D, anti-codon, and T loops). Further hydrogen bonds mediate the characteristic L-shaped molecular structure. tRNAs have two regions of fundamental functional importance: the anti-codon, which is responsible for specific mRNA codon recognition, and the 3' end, to which the tRNAs corresponding amino acid is attached (by aminoacyl-tRNA synthetases). tRNAs cope with the degeneracy of the genetic code in two manners: having more than one tRNA (with a specific anti-codon) for a particular amino acid; and 'wobble' base-pairing, i.e. permitting non-standard base-pairing at the 3rd anti-codon position. Lineage: Bacteria; Pseudomonadati; Candidatus Cloacimonadota; Cloacimonadia (SeqCode); Cloacimonadales (SeqCode); Cloacimonadaceae (SeqCode). The record is from Rfam by way of RNAcentral.
GGCGGUGUAGCUCAGCUGGUUAGAGCGUCGGAAUCAUAAUCCGCAGGUCCGGGGUUCAAAUCCCUGCGCCGCUA